GUCAAGUGACACAUUCCACAUUGUUUGUCAAGGGGUUCAUCUGGCCACAAAGUAUAUAUAAAGAAGUUGUUUAGUUUAUUUAAAUGUUCGGAGUACUGUUGUUCUAAAGAUACAGAGUUUAAAAAAAGGCACCAUGGAGAAAAAACCUGGAUUUAGAAUGAAGGGGCUUUGCAUAUUUCUCAUAUUCUUGCUAAAUUCAGGCUCAAUAUUAUCUCCAAUGUUGGUGAUGGCCCAAAGUUCUACUACUGGAGCCGCUACUACUGCAGCACCAACUACUACAGCAGCACCAACUACUACUGCAGCACCAACUACUACAGCAGCCCC
This is a long non-coding RNA of Rana temporaria (common frog), 324 nucleotides long. RefSeq lists it as uncharacterized. Lineage: Eukaryota; Metazoa; Chordata; Amphibia; Anura; Ranidae. The record is from RefSeq and is a predicted model, not a curated record. The transcript is spliced from 3 exons.